RNAcentral lists this long non-coding RNA (388 nucleotides) under Dromaius novaehollandiae (emu). RNAcentral describes it as "lncRNA (ENSDNVG00000015834.1)". Lineage: Eukaryota; Metazoa; Chordata; Aves; Casuariiformes; Dromaiidae. The record is from RNAcentral.
UGGCUCUUCUUUGACAAAUGAAUUGCACUGAGUACUUCACUUUUAAUUUCUCUAUAGACCAUCAUGCAGCAUGCCUCAGUUUUGGAAGUUUGGAAUACCAUUUCAAGCAGGUACUUCUCAGAGAUUGGAAUCAUCUUUAAAUGGGGCUCCUGAAAAACAAGAAACUACAAUGUUUUGCACAUUUUGAUAACAAGGAUGAAAGAGCCAGCACCAAUAAGGUACACUGGUGGAGGUUAAGGUAUCCAUCUACAGACUGUGCACUGAAAUCUCUUUCAGUGACGUACCUGACUUUCUUGAAGAUGUAAAUGGCGUGUCAUCUCGGAGUUUAAAAUGGAGAAGGUACACCUUUUCAGCCUCCUUCUCUUAGAGGUUACAUUUUCAAGUAAAC